AACGAGAACGGAUUAUAGCUUGCUAUAAUUGUCAGCUAAGUGGCGCACGGGUGAGUAAUGUAUAGGUAAUAUGCCUCUUACUAAGGGAUAACAAUUGGAAACGAUUGCUAAUACCUUAUAUUCCUUUUUAUCAAAAGAUAAAAAGGGAAAGAUUUAUUGGUAAGAGAUUAGCCUGUAUUGUAUCAGUUAGUUGGUGGGGUAAUGGCCUACCAAGACGAUGACGCAUAACUGGUUUGAGAGGAUGAUCAGUCACACUGGAACUGAGACACGGUCCAGACUCCUACGGGAGGCAGCAGUGGGGAAUAUUGCACAAUGGACGAAAGUCUGAUGCAGCAACGCCGCGUGGAGGAUGACACAUUUCGGUGCGUAAACUCCUUUUAUAUAAGAAGAUAAUGACGGUAUUAUAUGAAUAAGCACCGGCUAACUCCGUGCCAGCAGCCGCGGUAAUACGGAGGGUGCAAGCGUUACUCGGAAUCACUGGGCGUAAAGAGCGUGUAGGCGGAUUGAUAAGUUUGAAGUGAAAUCCUAUAGCUUAACUAUAGAACUGCUUUGAAAACUGUUAAUCUAGAAUGUGGGAGAGGUAGAUGGAAUUUCUGGUGUAGG
RNAcentral lists this ribosomal RNA (603 nucleotides) under uncultured Arcobacter sp. Its description in RNAcentral is "bacterial SSU rRNA". It matches the Rfam family "Bacterial small subunit ribosomal RNA", at positions 65 to 679 of the family's 1533-position model. The record is from RNAcentral. Lineage: Bacteria; Pseudomonadati; Campylobacterota; Epsilonproteobacteria; Campylobacterales; Arcobacteraceae.